This 252-nucleotide ribosomal RNA is filed under the name uncultured bacterium. RNAcentral describes it as "partial 16S ribosomal RNA". It matches the Rfam family "Bacterial small subunit ribosomal RNA", at positions 524 to 776 of the family's 1533-position model. The record is from RNAcentral.
UACGGAGGAUGCGAGCGUUAUCCGGAUUUAUUGGGUUUAAAGGGUGCGUAGGCGGUCCGGAAAGUCAGCGGUAAAAGCCCGGGGCCCAACCCCGGCGAGCCGUUGAAACUGUCGGACUAGAGACGGCGAGAAGUACGCGGAAUGCGCGGUGUAGCGGUGAAAUGCAUAGAUAUCGCGCAGAACUCCGAUUGCGAAGGCAGCGUACCGGCGCCGGACUGACGCUGAGGCACGAAAGCGUGGGUAUCGAACAGG